GUUGACCUCGGAUCAGGUAGGAAUACCCGCUGAACUUAAGCAUAUCAAUAAGCGGAGGAAAAGAAACCAACAGGGAUUGCCUCAGUAACGGCGAGUGAAGCGGCAACAGCUCAAAUUUGAAAUCUGGCCCUAGGCCCGAGUUGUAAUUUGCAGAGGAUGCUUUUGGCGAGGUGCCUUCCGAGUUCCCUGGAACGGGACGCCAUAGAGGGUGAGAGCCCCGUCUGGUCGGACACCGAGCCUCUGUAAAGCUCCUUCGACGAGUCGAGUAGUUUGGGAAUGCUGCUCUAAAUGGGAGGUAUAUGUCUUCUAAAGCUAAAUACCGGCCAGAGACCGAUAGCGCACAAGUAGAGUGAUCGAAAGAUGAAAAGCACUUUGAAAAGAGAGUUAAAUAGCACGUGAAAUUGUUGAAAGGGAAGCGUUUAUGACCAGACUUGGCCCGGUUGAUCAUCCAGCGUUCUCGCUGGUGCACUCUGCCGGUCCAGGCCAGCAUCAGUUCGUCGCGGGGGAUAAAGGUUUCGGGAAUGUGGCUCCUUCGGGAGUGUUAUAGCCCGUUGCGUAAUACCCUGCGGUGGACUGAGGUCCGCGCUUCUGCAAGGAUGCUGGCGUAAUGGUCAUCAACGAC
RNAcentral lists this ribosomal RNA (622 nucleotides) under Paramyrothecium roridum. RNAcentral describes it as "eukaryotic LSU rRNA". It matches the Rfam family "Eukaryotic large subunit ribosomal RNA", at positions 1 to 648 of the family's 3401-position model. Lineage: Eukaryota; Fungi; Ascomycota; Sordariomycetes; Hypocreales; Stachybotryaceae. The record is from RNAcentral.